Molecule: long non-coding RNA, 633 nt
Organism: Saccostrea cuccullata (small rock oyster)
Lineage: Eukaryota; Metazoa; Mollusca; Bivalvia; Ostreida; Ostreidae
Exons: 3
Source: RefSeq, a predicted model, not a curated record
ACAAGUGAAAAGAAAUUCAUGGAAUGUGGGUCAUUGACAGUUGGUGUUGUCUGUAUAGAGAACUUGGACCGAUUAACCCCCACCCUUCAGACAUAGGAGAGAGAAGCCUGUAGCUUACAACUGUACCAGCAAUGAAGAUAUACACUGUUGUGUGGGCGUGCCUAAUCUGUUUGGAGGUACACGUGGCAGUGUCAUUUCCUCAAUUAGGUAACUAUGCUUGCUUAGAUAAACAGAUCGGUGAUGAUAACUGUUCGUUCUACAGACGACUGUAUGACGUCACUGAGGCUGAACUCUUCUGUUCCCAUUGGGGUCGUUAUUGCUGUCUAUCCUGCUUGGAGAUGAAAAUGGACAUGGAAAGGAGGCAGAAGUAGCAAAUAUAUUUAGAUCAGAGUGGCGUUAUAACAAAAGAAACGUGCUAUUUUCUUUGAAAGUUUGUUCAAAAUGGACUUAUAUACAGAGAUGUAUAUUUUUUGGUGUCAGUUAAAAAUUUUAUAUUGUGUUCACAUGUGUAUAAAUAAUAAAUAAUAAUGGAAAUAUGUCACGCAGAGCAUUCCAUUGUAUCAUCGGGCUGUACAAAUAGAAGCACCUGCACCAAGAUGUUGGUUGUCAAAUAAAACUUAUUUUAUUAUUUUU